Pangasianodon hypophthalmus (striped catfish) is the source of this 1885-nucleotide long non-coding RNA. RefSeq lists it as uncharacterized. NCBI's taxonomy places the organism in Eukaryota, Metazoa, Chordata, Actinopteri, Siluriformes, Pangasiidae. The record is from RefSeq and is a predicted model, not a curated record. The transcript is spliced from 3 exons.
CCCAAAAAGACUGGGGCCGGCCCUGCUGCUUAACUAAUAAUACUAUUCCCAGGUUGGAAGAGAAAAGAGUCUUUCUAACAGGUCAAUGGCUCUAUGUGAGCUGACCCUUCUAGUCCUUGUUCAGCCUUUACUCAAAAAAGCAGCCACUCUUCAAUAAGAGCUGCAUUAGCCCUUCCUUCAGUGGCUGGAAAGUGGAGGGGGCCUGGGAUUGGAGAGAAAGCGAUCAUGGGAGAAGAGAGCCUUGGUGAAAAAAAGGGUGGUGAAUGGACAAGUUUUAAUUAAUUUUCUUCAAAAGAGAGCCCGAUUAAAUGUUUCCGGCCUGCUAAAGUGCUCAUUUCACUGAAGGGGGAAGGUGAGAGAGGGAGCGUAAGAGCGAGACAGAGAGCGACAGAGCGAGAGAGAGAGAGAGAGCGAGAGAGAGAGAGAGAGAGCGAGCGAGACAGAGAGAGAGUAAGAGAGAGACAAGAGGCAAGAGGGUUGGGCCUUGAGCUGGACCCUUUCAUGAGCGGGUGCACACCCAGUGGCGUGGCGUCUAAAGAAUGCAUGCGGCACCGAAAUUGCGGGAGGAUUGUCCUUGGACAAAGGGGUGGGAGUUACGCCUGUUAUACUCCAAUAAGCCUUGUCAGUCAAACAAGGAGUGAGAAAGCAAAGAGAAAGGGAAAGCAAUGGAUUUUCAUACAAAGAGAAACAAUGUUGAGAAGAGGGAGUCUCUAAGCCACUGGGGCUCCUGCAGGAGGGAUGCGUUCCUACCAGACACACACACACGGACAGGAGAUGACGACACUGUCUUCUGAAUUGAGCUGGAUGUCCAGCUGGGUUAAGGGCUUUAUAGAGGUGACUACUCUUGUUGAGGUCCAGGUUGAGGUCUCUGCAUCAGAGCAGGACAGUACAGGCUACAGCAUUUGUCUCAACAGAAUAUUUAAUGAACACAUUUAAGUGUUACUCAUUCUUACCCUGGACUGAAAAAAGAAAAGAAAAGAAAAUUGCUUGGAUUUAAUAUUUCUUAAACUUACAUUUAAAAUAACAGUUCACUCAGCCACCAGGCACACAUUUUAAGGGGACCAUGAGUCAAGAGGCUUGGGUCAAUAUAUUCUAUAUAAUCUAACGUGUCAGACCGAUGUCAAAUUCUUGGCUUCGACUCAUGAAAAAGAGGCCCUAACCACAGAUAUCUCCCUGUAAAACUGAAAUACUUUGUUAUUACUGCUUUAAAGAGACCUGGCGUUUUCUCAUUCUCUAGUGGUUAAUACAUGGAGCACUCUCCUCGUUCUUUAAAGAUGGUGCGGGAAAUGUAAUGGUUAUUUUUAGGUCUUCAUUCUUCAUAUUAUGGCACCAUGGUCUAUCAUCAUAGUCUAUCAUUUGCAUUAGCACGCAGAAUUUAAAGGAAAAAAACAUUGAAAAUACUGAUUCUAUAAUCAGGGUUGGGACCAUUUCCAGUAUUAUUCUUGGUUAUACCACAGUGCUGUCGAAUGCUCUAUUCUGAGAGGUCAGAAGGUGUUGAUUAAUUUUCAUAACAGCAUGGCUCGAGCAGUAGUUCAGACUGUUAGGUUUAUAUUAAUGCACUCAUUCUCAUACAUUAUCAUUUCUGUAGUAAUAACUUGCACAAGGACUUGUAAGGCAAACACUUCACAUGAACAUUUUAAAAAAAUGUAUAUAAAAAUUGAUAUGAUGACGUUUUAUGUGACAAGAUGUUUAUUUACCAUUUUUAGAAGGAGUCUCCAGUGUCAGAUGUAAAACUGUAACUAAUCAUGAGUGCCGGGGGAAGGACCUCUGCCUGUAGAAUGACCUCCAGAUCAGCGUCGGUCAGGCCACUGGACACAGAGUUGACCCGCACACAUUUCUCAGUGCGCCCCAGAUUCAGCUCAGCCAGCAUCUUUGGGAUUGUUUC